Molecule: ribosomal RNA, 497 nt
Filed under: uncultured bacterium
Lineage: Bacteria
Description: partial 16S ribosomal RNA
Rfam family: Bacterial small subunit ribosomal RNA
Source: RNAcentral
GAUGAACGCUGGCGGCGUGCCUAAUACAUGCAAGUCGAGCGAACGGACGAGAAGCUUGCUUCUUUGAUGUUAGCGGCGGACGGGUGAGUAACACGUGGAUAACCUACCUAUAAGACUGGGAUAACUUCGGGAAACCGGAGCUAAUACCGGAUAAUAUUUUGAACCGCAUGGUUCAAAAGUGAAAGACGGUCUUGCUGUCACUUAUAGAUGGAUCCGCGCUGCAUUAGCUAGUUGGUAAGGUAACGGCUUACCAAGGCAACUAUGCAUAGGCGACCUGAGAGGGUGGUCUUCCCCACUGCAACGGAGACGCGGUCCAGACUACUACGCGAGGCAGCGGUAGGGUAUCUUCCACUAGGCGCUGAAGCCUGACGUAGCAACGCCGCGUGAGUUAUGAAAGUCUUCUCAUCUGGAAACUCUGUUAUUAUGGAAGAACAUAUGUGUAAGUAACGUGUCACAGCUUGACGGUACCUAAUCAGAAAGCCACGGCUAACUACGUG